GCCAUGGUAUAUAAGUGUUUUAGGAUUUGUUUGUUAUGUUUUGGAGCCUUUUUAGAGUAUUGACAGGUUCAAGAGUGUUUUGAAGAUAUAUGGUGAUUUUGGGGCAUUUUGGAGAUAAAGCUAGAAGAAACUCGUAGCUGUCUAUCAAACCAGUCCAGAGUCGACAUUCAGAGUCAAACAUCCAUCGACGGACAACUCUUGUCGUCAAUCGACAGCAAAGCGCGAAAGACCCGACUUGGUUCCCAGCCAACUUAUGGCCGAAGUUCCAAAUCAUUUACAAGAAUGCCCCUAGCCGACUCUAACCUAAUAUGUAUGUGCUCUGCCAUUGUUUUGGACAACACACGUUUUCAUACUUUCUACUUGUUACAGCAGAACAUAUUUAGGGUUUUUAAUAGUUUGGAGAGAAGAUCCAAGACUCCUUCAGAGCUUUGAAUUGGAAUUCCAGUUUUUCUACCUUAUUCUGUUUAUGCAU
RNAcentral lists this long non-coding RNA (472 nucleotides) under Brassica napus (rape). Its description in RNAcentral is "long non-coding RNA (BNAP_LNC000843)". Lineage: Eukaryota; Viridiplantae; Streptophyta; Magnoliopsida; Brassicales; Brassicaceae. The record is from RNAcentral.